RNAcentral lists this ribosomal RNA (2598 nucleotides) under Geotrichum candidum. Its description in RNAcentral is "bacterial LSU rRNA". It matches the Rfam family "Bacterial large subunit ribosomal RNA", at positions 1 to 2530 of the family's 2925-position model. Lineage: Eukaryota; Fungi; Ascomycota; Dipodascomycetes; Dipodascales; Dipodascaceae. The record is from RNAcentral.
AUAUUAAUAUACAUUAGUAAUGUGAAUGAUAUAGAAUUAAUAUUUCUAUACUAUAUUAAUAGUAUAGGUAAGUAUAUAAAGAGACUAUUAGGGAUACCUAGCUACAUAUUAAAGAGAUUAAUUUGUGUAUUAAGAGGUUUUACACAUGAACUCUUAGAGAAAUUCAGUAAUAAACGAGGUGAAUUGAAAUAUCUUAGUAACCUUAGGAAAAGAAAUCAAACGAGAUUCUACGAUUAGUGUGAAUGAAAGUAGAGGAGCCUAUUAAUAUAUCAGAAUAGUAAGUAAUAAUUAAUAAUAAUAAUAUAAUUACUAGAGUUAAAUUUUAAUUCGCUGGUAUAAUGAAUAAGUAAAAUGGAUACAAAUCUGUUUGAAAAAAGGGGAACCUUCCUCUAAGGCUAAAUAUAAUAUGUAAGCGACAGCGCAUAGUACUGUGAAGGAAAGGAUUGAAAUAGUAGUUUUAUAAGCAGCUCGAGUAAAAUUAAAAUACAAGAGCGUACCUUUUGCAUAAUGGGUCAGCAAGUUAAUGUUAGAUGCGAGCAUAUGUUUAAAUUAUAUGCCUAGAUAAACCAAUUAUGAAAUAAUGAGUUAGUAUCUAAAAUUAGACCCGAAGCCUAGUGAUCUUACCAUAGUCAGGGUUAUAAAAGCCCGAACGGGUUAUCGUUGUAAAGAUAUCCGAUGAACUGUGGUAAGUUAGUGAAAGACAAUACUGACUAGGAUAGCUGGUUUUCUGCGAAACCUAUAUAAGUAGGUAAUUCAAAGUACAUCAUAGCAGGUACAGAACUGUGAUCUCAGGCAACUCUUUUAACAAUGUUAAAAGUUUUGCAUAUAUCGGGGAAUCGUGAAGAUUUUAUCGGUGAGUAUUUGCACUCGGAAGGGCAAUGAUGAAUAUUGAAUAAUCGGACAUAGUACGAUAAGGUUGUAUGUCUAAAGGGAAACAGCCCAGAACAAGAGUUAAGGUUCCAAAAUUAUUAUUAAGUGAAAUUAAGGAAGUUCCUAUCAAAUACAACUAGGAAAUAGGCUUAGAAGCUGCCAUUUUUUGAAGAUCUCGUAACAGAGCACUGGUUCAGUAAAAUAUUUUUACACGCGAAAGCGUAUGAUAGUUGCACCGAAAAUUUAACGGAUCUAAAUAAUAUACCGAUACCUUGUCCAUAUAUAAAUAAUAGUUUAUUAUUUAUUAUGGGGUAGCAGAACGUUGGGUAAAUCUUAGAUGUACUCUUUUUAAGAGUAAUUAUUAGAUAACCCAAGUGAGAAUGCUGACAUGAGUAACGAAAAAGGGAAAAUACCCUCGCCUAAAGCUUAUGGAUUUUUAUUAAGUAACGGCCUCUAAGUUUACCAACCUAAAGGAUUAAACGAUGAGCAAAUCUUGUCUACAAAGUGACAACCUUUUUAAAAAAUAAAGAAAAGUGAAAAAGGUUCUGGAAAAACAGUAGACAAAAAACCGUACCUAGAAACUACCACAAGUAAGCAAGUAGAGAAUACGAAGGCGUUUGAGCGAACAAUCAUUAAGGAACUCGGCAAACUAACUACCGUAACUUCGGGAUAAGGAGAGCCAUUCCUCCUGAUUAAUAUCAGGUAAAGAAUAGGAAGCAUAGAAUAGUGUUGUACGACUGUUUAAUUAAAACAAAGCACUCUGCAUUAAGAUAAUAAAUCAAAGUAUUGAGUGUGAUUUCUGCCCGAUGUCGGCUGGUUAACGGAUUUGCUAAGUUGACUAAUAUAAGCUUGGCUUUGAAGGAAACCCCGAUCAAUGGCGGCCUUACCUAUGAGGGUCCUAAGGUAGCGGAAUACCCUGGCCGUUAAAUGCGGUCUUGCAUGAAUGAUUUAACGAUACAACAGCUGUCUCAAUGAUUGGCUCAGUGAAAUUGGAAUAACUGUGCAGAUACAGUUUACCUCUAGUUAGACGAGAAGACCCUAUGCAGCUUUACUGUUACUAGUUAUUGAAUAUGAUUUAACAAAUUUUAGUGUAUAAGGUAAUCGAUAGAUAAAAUUGAAACACCUUUAUUUAGUUUGUCAUAUUGGUAAAUAUAUUAUUUACCUUAAUAUAGCUUUUAUAUAGAGUUAUAUUAAGUUACCCUAAAAUAGGGAACAAUUGCUAGGAGGCAGUUUAUGCGGGGCACAGAUCCCAUAAAAAGUACCUGGGUGUAUCCAAAGUUAUUUUUGUAAAAUAAUCAUGAUUUAUUCAUGAUAUUGGUAAUAUCUCUUGAUUUUAUCAAUUUAUUUAGUGUGUUAUUUGGUAUAGCUUUAGCUAGAACUAAUUCAGUUAUAUAUCUAUUAAGUUAGAAUUAUAUUUUUUUAUUUAAGUAAGAUUUUAACUAUAUGGAAAAUAGAUGUAAUUAAAACAUUAUAAAGAUAAUUUUAAUGUUUUUAGCUAUAUUAUUAGUGUAUAAGAACUGAUAAUAUAGUUAUGUGUAUUACUUAUCAAGUUUAAUGGCUUAAUCUUGCUUUACUGUUUGACUUACACGUCUAUCAGUCGCGUAAGCGGGGCAUAUGAUCACAAGACGCAGAAAGGAAAGGUCUUGGAUUUUUGAAAAAGCUACGCUAGGGAUGUUAGUCCUCCAAUGUUUUUUAAUAAAGUUUAUUAAAAAUCUAUUGGUUAUUAAU